Molecule: long non-coding RNA, 608 nt
Organism: Populus trichocarpa (black cottonwood)
Lineage: Eukaryota; Viridiplantae; Streptophyta; Magnoliopsida; Malpighiales; Salicaceae
Exons: 2
Source: RefSeq, a predicted model, not a curated record
UUUUUUUUUCAGGGUGUAGGAGCGUGUUCUCUACUGGAGCGGAUGUUUGCUGCACUGGAUUUUGGUUUCUCUUCUUUUCCCAGACUAUUGGCCAAUCUCUUUGGAGGUUGUCCCUCUCCAAGGGUGGUUCAAUGAGGUGGCUCUAUUUUCCUGGUAUGUUGUUUUUUCACGGGUUUAUUGUCAUUUUUCUAUAUACCAAUGAAUCAAUUGAUGCAUUGAUUUCAGAUUUCACGUUUUUUGACCCCUUACAACUUAUGUUUUUUUGGUUCAGGUUUGUUUUUAUUUUUGUUUCACCCUCUGCGCUUCAUUUUUUGGUUUUGGGUUUGCUCCUGCCCCGUUUUAGCCUGUUUAAUGAUUCUUGCUUAACAAGGUUGUGAUUUGCUUGGUAUGUUGCUGUUGUUUUUUGCGUGGUGGUGUAGAUCAACACCAGCCUAUAUUUAUCUCUAUCUUAGCAUCUGAAAUGCCUUUCUAACACUUUUUUCUAGUUUUUCAUAACUAGAACAUUACAUCUUGGAUGCUGAUAUUGAGUUGGCUCAUGUAUAAUGACGGGUUCAACUCUGUAUCUUUUAGGCUUUCGACAUGUUAAUAUAGACUGAUGCAUUGUUUCA